This 418-nucleotide ribosomal RNA is filed under the name uncultured Bacillus sp. RNAcentral's name for it is "bacterial SSU rRNA". It matches the Rfam family "Bacterial small subunit ribosomal RNA", at positions 980 to 1399 of the family's 1533-position model. The record is from RNAcentral. Lineage: Bacteria; Bacillati; Bacillota; Bacilli; Caryophanales; Bacillaceae.
CCCGAAAUCGUUUGACUCCUGUGACACGGGCCUUCCCCUUCGGGGGACAGAGUGACAGGUGGUGCAUGGUUGUCGUCAGCUCGUGUCGUGAGAUGUUGGGUUAAGUCCCGCAACGAGCGCAACCCUUGACCUUAGUUGCCAGCAUUCAGUUGGGCACUCUAAGGUGACUGCCGGUGACAAACCGGAGGAAGGUGGGGAUGACGUCAAAUCAUCAUGCCCCUUAUGACCUGGGCUACACACGUGCUACAAUGGAUGGUACAAAGGGCUGCGAGACCGCGAGGUUGAGCCAAUCCCAAAAAACCAUUCUCAGUUCGGAUUGCAGGCUGCAACUCGCCUGCAUGAAGCCGGAAUCGCUAGUAAUCGCGGAUCAGCAUGCCGCGGUGAAUACGUUCCCGGGCCUUGUACACACCGAACGUAC